This 956-nucleotide long non-coding RNA is filed under the name Marmota monax (woodchuck). Lineage: Eukaryota; Metazoa; Chordata; Mammalia; Rodentia; Sciuridae. The record is from RNAcentral.
GCUGGUCCUCUGGGAGGGGAAGGCCAGGGCUGACCAAGGUCCCCCUCUGGGUCCCACCUGCCACACCACCUUCUCCCUAGGUCUUGAGGAUACCCCCAAGUUUGAAGCUUGGCUUUAUGGAUGAUUGGAGGUGGGGUGGGCUGAAAUUACAGAUGCGUUUGGGGUGCUCUUAUAUGACAGGGACCCAAAGGUUCCAUGAGCUUUUCAGAGGGCAGCAACUGAAGGCUAGGAAUGAGGCCUCCUGUGCCCUUCAGGGUCUGUUCCACACACUGGUUGAGACCCACUGGGUGCCAGAUGCAUGCCAAGUCCUAGGUUUGCAGCCAGGAACUAGGACCUCCCGGAGGAACAGGUCAUUCAUUAUAGGUGCUGGGGCUGGGAAGGGAUGACAAGGGGGCCCAAUAGGGCUGGGGUGUCAAGACUUCAUGGGUCCAUGGGCACCUAGUUGCCCUGCACCCCAUCUCCUCAUUUCCAGAACCUGCCUUGCUGGUGUGGCCCUUCCUCAUUCUCUUCCCAGAACCACAGUAAACAGUGCUGAAAACAGGCUUGUGGGGGUGCGCCAACUGCACCCCCACUCUCACCAAGGCAAUAGAGCUCCGAGGGACCCAGAGGUGUUCCAUGUGGGCAGCCUAAAAUUUUGAGUCUGUUUGCCUUGUGUGAGAACAACCGGCAGGAUUGAGCUUGCUGUGCUGUUUACCUAUAGUGUGAUGCACUUCUGUGCACCUCUUGCUUUCCUGUGGUGUGUUCCCCUCUCCAACAAGAACUGAUUGCAUCCCUCUCUAGCCAGGCACUGCACCAGAGCUGGAGACGUGCCAGAGAGGCUUGGGCCUCGUGAAGCUCACAGUCUGGAGGAAAAAGGGGACAGUGGAAUUAAGGUCUAGAGCUGGGACAUAGCUCAGCCGGGGAGUACUCGGUGAGCACACGCAAGGCCCUGAGUUCAAAGAAUGAAAUAAGCAAGG